UUGCAGAAGAACGAAAGGUGCUUGAUGAGAAGAUGGGCAUAGGAGAGGCAGGGAAAUCGAAGAAGCUUUUGAAAUGGGCCAUCAAUGCAUCCAUGUGUGGACGGAUCAUUGGUACUGGUGGCAAAAUUGCACGCCGGAUUUAUGAGGAAACUGGAUCUCACAUUCAAAUUGGCCCAGAACAUGAACUUCCUUCCCAAUCGGGAGAAAGGGUUGUCUACAUCACAGGGGAUGAUGAGUCCAAUGAGAAAGCACGUAAACAGAUUGAGGACAAGGUUGGCGGGCGCCCUCCUUCCUCUGACGCAAAGGACCGUGGGACCAAAUACAUGGUGCCAUCGCGCAGUG
Molecule: non-coding RNA, 342 nt
Filed under: Chattonella subsalsa
Lineage: Eukaryota; Raphidophyceae; Chattonellales; Chattonellaceae
Source: RNAcentral